Molecule: long non-coding RNA, 1828 nt
Organism: Peromyscus californicus insignis
Lineage: Eukaryota; Metazoa; Chordata; Mammalia; Rodentia; Cricetidae
Exons: 2
Source: RefSeq, a predicted model, not a curated record
CUCUAACCCUAAACACUGCUCUGAAAUCACACCUCCCAGGCCCAGACACCUGGAGGUGCUUUGGUGACAGUGACGUGCGGGCCAAACAGGUAUAAAUGCAGGACUACCAGGACUACUAAGAACCACCGCGGGGCGGGGGGUGGGUGGAUCUCCCACACUUCUAAUAAACACACACUUGCACACAUGCACUUCUUGGUGAAAAUCAGGCAAGCCAUCUUCAGUCCCCAGGUUCCUCCUCCGACCCACGGUUUCCCUUGCGUCCUCAGCAGACUUGCCAUCUCCUCCCGGGUCACAGGACCACUCCGUGUUUACUUUCCUUUCUCCCACUCAGGCCGGCCAGCGGAUCCCUAAGCUAACUAACCCCGUCACCAAUUGCUUUCCCUCUCACUCCCAGAUCCCAAAAGCGGAGCGAGAGGGGCACCCGAGCGCGCCACGUGGAUCGCGAGCCAGCAGCCAGAUGGAGACAGUUCUUAAAAGAGGGGUCCCUGCCUCGCCAGUCCCCGCGGCUCUGCUCCCGCCCUGGGCGCCUGAGACUUGCCUGGUUAGGGUCGGUGGCUCUGAAGACGUGGCAAGCCAUCUGCGACUCCGGGUCGUCCGGCUGCGCCUUGAUCAGGCGCCGCGGAAACUGCCAACUGUCGCCCCAGGCCCCCGCGCCUGCCUUGGUGCCACCAGCCCUUGAAGUCCGCGCUUCAGCGGCCCUGCCCCAUGCGACACUUUCCCCGGCGCGGCGAGGAGGCUCCGGCUGCAGCGCAGUGGACUAGCAGGAGACCGAGGCUCACGCGUGCAUCCUCCUUCCUGGAGAUCGCGCCUGCGGAGCCGCCUGACCUCCUGCCGCCCGUCCUCGAGGUCGGGGACCACGCCGACCCGGGUCUCCUGCUCCGGCUCCUGCAGCCCGCUGCGGCCGCCGUGCUCGCCCAACGCUGGCACUGGAAGGCUGGGCGGAGAGUGGGGCUGUGGGCGGGAAGGGGUGACUCGGGGCGGAGCUGACUGCUAGCAGGGUGACCGGCUGUCACCUGGAAGGUCGGGGGCGCGGGGUUGCGGCCCGCUCAGUCCCGGAGAACUAGUCCAGUGGAAAAUAACAAAAACAAACGUGGCCUUUCGCGGGCGGCUCCUCCAAGCCGCCGGCUCUGCAGCCCAGCUCGCCGCUCCUCCUCCAGGGUUCCCGUCCCUCCCUCGUUUCUUCCUUCCUUCCUUCCAGGCCGCUACUUUAAAGCCGGGCUGCUGCCCUGCCUCCAAUCCCGCCAGAGGAGAGCUUUGCCUGCAGCCGCAGAUCCUCCCAGCUUCUUCCUCCUGCCUCCGCCCCUCACCUCGCCUCAGGGGGCAGCCGUACCCAGCCUAGCGCGGGCACUUCCCGGACCUGCUCGGCCUCUCUCCUCUCCUGGAGACUCUACUGCCCCCUGGAGAGGGGCCACCCUCAGUGGGGCGCUGGGAUUUUUCUUUUUUUUAAGCAAUAUUUGCUUGGUUUUAUUUCGUCUAAAAUCUGAACAUCACUAUAUUCUGCACCCUUUUUCCUACUCUCGAGCCCUGCUGGUGUUUUCAAUCACAAUUUUAUGACAAAAUAGUUUAAUUACAAUAUUCACCUUAAACUUUAACAGUUCGAUAUGAAUCUUCCCAUUUCUUAGUGAAGCUAACUUCUUAAAAUAUAAAGAAGUUAAACUUCUUUACGUAUCCCCACUUCAGAACUAAUGUAAAUUUCUUCCCUUUUAUGUAUGAGAAUACAUAUUUCAAAAAGCAUUUCAGUGAUAAUUUGGUUAUUCUAUUUGUAAAGCAAAACGGUAGUAAUAUAAUUGUGUUUUCCAUUUUAGCAAAUUAAACUGGUUUUGUUAUU